AAAAAAUUUAAAUGGUUACUUCCUCAUACCUGCAAUUCCGUAGCUGGGGAAGCAAAAAACAGAAAUUUGGUCUCUGGUAGUGGGUCCACUUCCACCCCAUUUCAGACUCUACAGACCAAGCUUGCCUGCAGCCUGUACCUCCAAAAUGUGGAGGUGGGGAGGUCUAAGAAAGAGGGGGAUCACUUGCAAAUAUAAGGAAAUCAGACGCACCCGGUGCUACAGAAAUGGGCCAGGAGAAAACUCAGCAUUUUGACUGGGAUUUUGUUCCAACCAAGCAACUCUCUUCUACUUUCGUUGUGUACGGUUGGCACCAGGUGGAGGACAAUCAUUGGCACAGUGCUCUUGGCUCCUCUCCAUCCUCUCACUCCCUCCGCACUGACUGAUGAAAACCAAAGGAAGAGGGACAAGAAAUUAAGACGUGUUUAUCUUAAGACGAGAGAGACAAAGUCAGAUCUCUUGAAGACAACCAUAUCUGCUUAAUGCCAUAUGCAAUAGAAAACUCUUCAAAGAACUACAGGGGGCCGGGCGCAGUGACUUAUGCCUGCAAUCCCAGCACUUUGGGAGGCUGAGGUGGGCAGAUCACUUGAGAUCAGGAGCUCAAGACCAGCCUGACCAACAUGGUGAAAUCUGUCUCUACUAAAAUACAAGAAUUAGCUGGGUGUGGUGGCUCACGCCUGUAAUCCCAGCUACUCGGGAGGCUGAGGCAGGAGAAUCGCUUGAACCUGGGAGGCAGAGGUUGCAGUGAGCCAAGAUCACACCACUGCACUCCAGUCUGGGGGACAGAGCAAGACUCUGUCUCAAAAAAUAAAUAAAUAAAUAAAUAAAAGAAAUAUAGGGGAACAACCCAGCAUCAGCCCACAUGAAACUAUUAGGUUAGCUGCUAUAACAAAUAAACCACCAAGUUUUAACAGCUUAACACCUUAAGAACUGAGCUAUCUACGUAACAGUCCAAAGCUGUUAUUUCUGAUUGGUGGGUAGUUUUGCCCAUAUGGUGAUUAAGGGACCUGUUCCCUCCACCCGUGGCUCACCAGCCCCUAGACCUCAAAGGUUUCCGCAUUCACUGGCAGACAGGAAAUGACAAUAGAAGAAGCCCAGCCUGUAUCUUAAAAGCCCUGACCCAGAAGUUAGUGGCAUUCCAUCUGGUCUCAUUCAGUUGGUGAGAAGAGUCUUAUGGCUACCCCUAGAGAGAAAAUAGAAGAUAAAGUCCCUGACUGGACAUCUCCUCCCAGCAACAACUCCACACUAUGCAAAGCAGAAUACAAACUUUCAGUGGAUUGACAUUCAUCUCUACCAAAGAGCUCUUUUCUAAUUCACAUGAAGGUGAUUUCCUCCUUGCUAAAGCCCUGGAAAUCUAAAUUGGAAAGAAAGUUAGAAAUCUACUGUGACAUGCUACAAAUGCAGAUGUGCCACAAACACCACAGAAUGGUCAUCCAGCCAGUGCCAGAUCAUCAUGAGAAAGUUUUGUUAGAAAAGUUUUCCUUUCAUAGUCCCAGGUGAGCCAUCUGUUGCAACCCAGGAUCCAACCCCCAGUGUGACUGUAUUUGGAGACAGAGCCUUUAUGAAGGUAAUUAAAGUUAAAAGAGGUCACGGGGUGGAGCCCUGAUCCAAUAGAUUUAGCGUCCUUGUAAGAAGAGACACGAAAGAGCAAGCUCUCUCUCCAUCUUGUGAGGACACAGUGAGAAGGUGGCCAUCUGCAAACCAGAAAGUAAGUGCUCCCUCACCAGGAACUGAACUGGCCUACACCUUGAUCUUGGACUUCCCAGCCUCCAGAACUGUGAGGAAAUACAUUUCGGUUGGUAAAUUUUUAUGGUAUUUUGUAAUAGCAGCCUGAUCUGACUAAUACAAACAUCAUGGCCCAACAAAAUUGUCUUUAUUACUGUGCAUUGGUAAUUAACCUCAUCGUUGAGCUUUUGAGCAAUUGCACCAUUGAUACCCCUGUUCACUGUUAUCAAGAUGUGGAAGAAGAGACAGUGCUUUUUCACUGACUUCCAAAUGUUCCAGAGCUACUUUUCCUUCUAGGCAUUUUUUAUUCUUCUCUACACCCUGCUGAUGACACUGCCUGUUCAUCUUUGGGGCCAAAGUGGUUCACACACACUCAGUCAAGAAUGCAGUAUGCACUUAGUAAAUAUGGACAGAGCUAAUGACACACACGUGGUGGGGAUGGCAGGGAAAUUUUUUGGUGCAUAAUUGACAUAGAGUCAGAAGUCAGAAAGGCAGAUGGAAAUAAAGAAAGGAGUGUGGAAGGGACUUGAUGAGAACAUCUUAAUCUAUGAAACCCAAAGAUAUUUGCUGUAGGCCUAGAAUGUAAAUUCAAAUUAAAUCAAGCACAACAACUCAAAGCAAAAACUCCUCAUAAACAAUCUCCCACUGACUUCAAAGGUAGAUUUGGGCCACAGGGCAGAGAGGAAAAGAGGUUAUGGAAUGUACCAGAAGCUUUGCAUUUGUCUACUGCAGAGUAGAAUUAAACCCUGGAGGUUACUGACAUCCCCCUGGGUCUUCGUGAUCCCAUAGGACAGGUUGGACAGUCCUCCACUGUCCAAAUGUUAGCGUCCCUCUGAAUGCUCAUUUUAAUUGGAAUCUCUGGGUACAUGCGCUCCUCUAGUUCAAGGGCUCUGGGUGCAUAAGUGGAAACAAAGCUUGCUACAGAACGUACCUCCCUCCCUCUUGGUUCAGGAACAUAUUUCAAAAUGCCACUUUAUUAGCAGCUAAACAAAAACACCUCUUCGACAGGGAUGAGGGAGCGUGGAGUAAACAUGUCAUCCCUACCUAUUGUUCUGCAGAGUCGAAAUUCUCCUAAGAUUGAUUAUAAAAGGCAGUUAUAGAGGAAACUGUUUGAGUCUGCUGAAUUAAAAACAAACAGUGAGGCAUUCAACGACGAACAGAUCUGAUGGAUUAAAAUGCACCGAAGAAAGACAUCUCAAGCGAUGCCUGAAUAGGCCAAGUCAGAAUGAGAGGAAAUUUGGCCUGCAAUUUCCAAUCAAGGGAAAACUGGCAAAGCAACAGAAUUUGAGGCUUCCUCAGAUUUACACUUUAUCUGCUAAUUAGCAUUAACAUGCGUGGUAGAGGUAUCUCACCAGCUUGUGGCACAAUAAAAAACGGAAUGUGUUAUCACCACAGAAUGUGUAAUUACUUUAAGCACUGGCUGAAAAUUGCAGGGUACUUCAUUUCAGAAUUUGUAUAUAUUUAUUGUUAGAGAUAAACUUGUUGAAGUAUAUCUAAUCUAAUUUUAUGUUAUAAUUCCUGUUUAAGAUAAUUUUAGUGUCAGCAAGCCAAGAACUGAAGUAAAUACUGCCGUAAAUUGUAAUACAUUAAAAUACCAGAGAAAUACUUCCAUUCAGCCGUGACUUGAUUUGCUUAUUGUUUAAGGACAAAAAAUAAAAAAUUCUCAGAUUACAUCAACAUUGGAAAUAUAUACUGUUGGGUUGCCCCUACCAUGCAGGCCAUGCAGCUGAUGAAGUUUGCUAACCUUGACUCGCCCAGUUCCCUGGAAGUGUGAAUCACUUUUAAAAGAAUUGUAGAUUUCCGUUUCCCUUAGGUAAGAUUUAUUAUUUUUGUAAAAAUCUCCUUAAAUUGCUCUGUAUGUUCCCACAAGGGAAAUGCAUUAGGACAGAUUAUUUGGCUUUAAAUCAUAACUAGGUUAAUAUUUGUUGUGAGUUUGAUUUAAGACCUUGUUUAAAUUCCUCCUUAAAUUGUUAAGCAAGACAAUUUGGGGCUAUGAAAAGGAAACUAUACUGUGUUUUUCAGUAAUAUGAUAUUAUGGCACAGACUACCAAAUCAUGCAAAAGCAAUUUCUGAUUUUUCUACUAAUAGGGGAUUAUAGCUAAAGCAUUGUCGGCAUACAGACUGUGUAUUCUUUUAGCAACCUUCUAUCAAGCCUGCAAAACUUGGAAAAAUGUGGAGAUAAUGCUGCCUCCGAGGAGGGAAUGCUGGAUCUAACACUAUUUUUGUUUGGUAACUAUCAAUUUCUCUGCCUUUUUAUGCCCUUGUUUCACCAGGAGAGAGAAGAGAGAGGGGGGAAAAAAGGAUAUACAAGGAUGCAUGGUUCACAAUGCCAAUGCCUGUAUUCAUAUAAUUUGUGUUAAUAAGAUGUAAAAACCUUCUUACGUUUUCUCCCAGUUGUCUGUCUACUGUUCCUCUGAGGAAGGCAUGAAAUUAAGGAUCCCAUUGGAUAGAUCUUAUUAUGAUUCAUCUGGAAAGAGCCCUAGGAUUUUAAUGUCUGCCCGUUGCCCUCCCUGUUGUGUGAAAAAUGGUGGGAGCUAAUGAGCCCUUGAAUGACUCUGGCCAUCUCAGAACACUGAUGUAUUGGUUGUCUAAGAGCCUUCUUCCUACGUGUAGCAAUAAUGAAGCUACAUAAAUGGAAAGUCCUGAAACUUCGAAAUUCUUUUUCUGGAGAAGUAGCUUCACACAGCACAUUUAAAGCACAACUGAAUUUUUCUUUUCAUGGCUGCUUUUUUAACAUGGAAAAUUUAUAUUUUCUGUAAUACUGAUUCCUAAUUAAUAUCUUAGCACCAAGUUCAGCAUAUUAAAGGCAGGACUGGUAUAUAAACAAAACCUGAGUGGCUCUGUGAUAGAAUAGGAGUGAGCAGACUUGAGAUCUUCCCUAGAGCUGAGGGAAACCAGGAAGGGGCAACGGUAGCAGCAAUUCAUGUGGUUUACUCUAGUGGCCAAAAGCAUUGAAAAGGUGUUAGCCCUGCUGCUCUGGCUAGACGCCAGUGAAGUAUUUAUAAGAUGCUGCCUCUGAUUCCUUCUAUGACUGUAAAAGUUUGGGGGAGAAGGGGACCUUUCUUUCCAGGCCUCAUUCCUUGCCUCUUGAGCAGUGCUGUGAUGUGUCCGGGGAAGCAGCUAUCCUUAUUUCACCUCUGAAGCUGUUUCACCUCAAAGAGGCUAUGAUUUCCCCUAAUGCAAUAGCUGGCCAUUCUCUUGCUGAAUGUGGAAAGUACUUUGGAAUCCUAUGGCAAGAAAGCAACUAAAGACAAUUUGAAGUCACAACUGUCCACAUCAUGUGAAAAUCAACACUCUUUUCCAAACCAGCAGCUAGAACAAGAAGUUGACUUGAGGAUGUUGACUCAAUACUGAUGGGUAAUUUUAGGACCUUUUCUAGGGAUACCUCCUGUCUUAGUCCAUUCAAGCUGCUAGGACAAAAUACUAUAGACUGGUGACUUAUAAAUAACAAACAGUUAUUGCUGAGUUCUGCAGUCUGGGUAGUCUAAGAUCAAGGUUCUAGUAGACCCAGAGUCUGGUGAGGUCUUACUUUCUUGUUCAUAGAUGGUUCUAUGUCUUCUCACUGUAUCCUCACAUGGUAGAAGGGGUGAGAGAGCUUACUGAGGUCUCUUUUAUAAGGGCAUUAAUCUCAUUCAUGAGGGCUACAUUCUCAUAACCUAAUCACCUCGCCAGAGCCCCACCUCCUAAUACCGUCACAGUAAUGAUUAAGUUUCAACAUAUGAAUUUUGUGGGGACACAAACAUUCCAUCUAUAGUACCUUCACAUGCAAACUAUUUCCAAAAUAAGACUUUCUGUGUGUGCAUGGGGACUUACCACAGUUCAUAAGAAGCAGUAUGAGCUGUUGGGCAUAAACAGAGCUUUCUUU
RNAcentral lists this long non-coding RNA (5587 nucleotides) under Homo sapiens (human). RNAcentral's name for it is "HSALNT0142341". Lineage: Eukaryota; Metazoa; Chordata; Mammalia; Primates; Hominidae. The record is from RNAcentral.